This is a non-coding RNA of Pelobates cultripes (western spadefoot toad), 638 nucleotides long. NCBI's taxonomy places the organism in Eukaryota, Metazoa, Chordata, Amphibia, Anura, Pelobatidae. The record is from the annotation of a GenBank genome assembly.
GUAUGAACACUAGCGUCGCCUUCAAUUUGUAAAUCCACGAACUGUGUCUCUGAGCUGCUUUACCUCGCACUAGGAUGCCAUCCCACCGCUUGCCACCAAUGUAACGGAUCGCCUGGCACCCCGACUGGGUACCUCCGUUGAAGGAUGCUCCUAGCGCUUCCUGAGGACUCCAAGCACUCUGGCAGACACCACAAUCACCGAACCGGAGAAACAAAUAAAUUCUCCCAAGCAUAUGAAUGCUGUAGACAGUUGAAUAAGAACCAUACGAAUAGGUUUACUCUCCUAGCAGUCAAACUGGAACAGCAUACAAUAAAUCCUUCCCCCAAUAAUGAGACGACACUUCACUUUGAGGGUUAAAACAGGAACUCCCUGUACUGUCACAUACAGUCUCUUUUAUUUCCAAUCCACAAACAUAGUACAGCCCACAGGGCGUUACAAAACAACCAAUCAAUCCGUACAAUACACCCAGACACUCCCACACAAACUCCUCCCCUCUGCCUGUGAUAUGAUUACUGAACACAAUGGGUAAUCUCAUUAUCACCGGCAGAGGAAUACAGUUUUUACACAAUAUUUAUAACUUCUAAAAUAUACAUGUCACAAACAUAAAACAUACAUUUUCAUAAUCAAUCCAUUCAGGG